UAAUGAGUGGUGUAAUUAGCAUAAAUAAUUUCGGCUUAUAAGGUAGGAUUUAUUCUUCUCAUUUU
This 65-nucleotide transfer RNA is filed under the name Mactra alta. Its description in RNAcentral is "tRNA-Arg". Lineage: Eukaryota; Metazoa; Mollusca; Bivalvia; Venerida; Mactridae. The record is from RNAcentral.